CUUUUGGCCAGUGUUUUGUCACAAUGACACA
This 31-nucleotide non-coding RNA is filed under the name Mus musculus (house mouse). The record is from RNAcentral. Lineage: Eukaryota; Metazoa; Chordata; Mammalia; Rodentia; Muridae.